Molecule: long non-coding RNA, 299 nt
Filed under: Actinidia chinensis (golden kiwifruit)
Lineage: Eukaryota; Viridiplantae; Streptophyta; Magnoliopsida; Ericales; Actinidiaceae
Description: long non-coding RNA (ACHI_LNC009714)
Source: RNAcentral
CCAAGCCCACGUUGAUAAUUCGAACCAUCCACCUCAUAGACAUCGCAUAAGUCAUUCAUGAACAUCCAUAAACACAUGAAAACAAUCGCAUUGUGUUAUAAAAUAAAUAAUUGAUAUAAUUAUAAAUUUAAAUUGUCCAUUUUAUAAAACAAAAUGUGAUUUAUUCAUAUAUUUAUAGAUGUUCAAUAAAAUUGAUUUCUUUCAUUAGAAUAAUAUACCUCACUAUAUAGACCAAUCACUAUAGGAUUAGAGCACCACUAGAAUUUGCGCCAAGUUCACUAAAUAAUUUCUCACUCACU